This 601-nucleotide ribosomal RNA is filed under the name Laboulbenia flagellata. RNAcentral describes it as "eukaryotic LSU rRNA". It matches the Rfam family "Eukaryotic large subunit ribosomal RNA", at positions 743 to 1346 of the family's 3401-position model. Lineage: Eukaryota; Fungi; Ascomycota; Laboulbeniomycetes; Laboulbeniales; Laboulbeniaceae. The record is from RNAcentral.
CGAGGGUGGCCGCACCAUCGACCGAUCCUGAUGUCCUCGGAUGGAUUUGAGUGGGAGCGCGGCCGCUGGGACCCGAAAGAUGGUGAACUAUGCCUGCUUAGGCUGAAGUCAGGGGAAACCCUGAUGGAAGGUCGCAGCGGUUCUGACGUGCAAAUCGAUCGUCAAAAGUGGGUAUAGGGGCGAAAGACUAAUCGAACCAUCUAGUAGCUGGUUCACACCGAAGUUUCCCUCAGGAUAGCAGCGGCGAUAUCAGUUUUAUGAGGUAAAGCGAAUGAUUGGAGGCAUUGGGGUUGAAACAACCUUAACCUACUCUCAAACUCUGAAUGUGUAAGAGGCCCCCGUUACUUAAGUGAACCCGGGCAUUCGAAUGCAGCGCCGUUAGUGGGCCAUUUUUGGUAAGCAGAACUGGCGAUGCGGGAUGAACCGAACGCGGGGUUAAGGUGCCGGAGUACACGCUCAUCAGACACCACAAAAGGUGUUGGUUCAUCUGGACAGCAGGACGGUGGCCAUGGAAGUCGGAAUCCGCUAAGGAGUGUGUAACAACUCACCUGCCGAAUGAACCAGCCCUGAAAAUGGAUGGCGCUCAAGCGUGUCACCGAUA